GGAGAAGAAUGGGUUAUCAGCGAGAAGGAACAAUGAUAGAAGGGGGCACCGUGAAGGUGAUGGCUUAUGGCGAUUUGGAGGAGGAAGAGGAUGAGAAGGUAAAAUGGAUAAGGAGGAAGGGAAGGAGGUGUAGGAAGCCGCUAUGGAGGAGGAGAAAUGAGUAAGGAGGAGAGGAGGGGAAAAGAUUUUUUAUUAAUAAAAAGAGAUAGAUGCAGAUGGGCCAUCUAAAGGAGUAGGGCUCAUGAGUUGGUUUGAAAGAGAAAGAUGAUGAGGAGGAAGG
Molecule: long non-coding RNA, 280 nt
Filed under: Elaeis guineensis (African oil palm)
Lineage: Eukaryota; Viridiplantae; Streptophyta; Magnoliopsida; Arecales; Arecaceae
Description: long non-coding RNA (EGUI_LNC029029)
Source: RNAcentral